This 253-nucleotide ribosomal RNA is filed under the name uncultured bacterium. RNAcentral describes it as "partial 16S ribosomal RNA". It matches the Rfam family "Bacterial small subunit ribosomal RNA", at positions 524 to 776 of the family's 1533-position model. The record is from RNAcentral.
UACAUGGGGUGCAAACGUUGCUCGGAAUUAUUGGGCGUAAAGCGCACGUAGGUGGUCUGUUAUGUCGGAUGUGAAGGCCCUCGGCUUAACUGAGGAAGUGCAUCCGAAACUGGCAGGCUUGAGUACGAAAGAGGAUCGCGGAAUUCCCGGUGUAGAAGUGAAAUUCGUAGAUAUCGGAAGGAACACCAGUGGCGAAGGCGGCGACCUGGUUCGAUACUGACACUGAGGUGCGAAAGCGUGGGGAGCAAACAGG